GACAGAUUGACAAGGCCAUGACAUUGCUUCAAAAGAUGGAAGGUUCCAAAUUCGUCCCAAACAUUGUGACUUACAAUAUUAUAAUGAAUAGCAUGUGUAAUGCCGGAAAGCUCGACGAUGCUAAGGGGCUGUUUGAUUCUUUGCAUGCUCGAGGCUUGCAACCUAACAUGUCGACAUGUAACAUUCUCAUGCAUGGGUUGUGCAAAGGAGGACGUACAGAGGAAGCAUAUCAGCUCCUAAAGGAGAUGGAAGGAAAUGGAUGAUUUCCAGAUGGGGUCAAUUAUAACACAAUAAUCCAAGGACUACUAAGAAAUAACAAAAGUACUAGAGCCGUGCAACUUGUCAGUGAAAUGGUUGACAGGGGUUUUUCUGCAGAUGUAGCAACGAUGGAGUUGUGGGUCAAAUAUCUCGUGAAAGAUGGAACUUCUUCCUUUUCUAGUAGAACUCUCCAUUGUCUCUGAGAUCUGUCCACUUUUUUCGUCUGAAAUGUGAUGCAGAGUAAAUCAGAUUACCGCCAAUUUUUCUUCCAAUCGUCAUCUCACUGAGUCUCAUGUCCCAUUAAUGAAGUUGUUUUAAAUCUGGGAGACAGUUCACUAUAUCGAACCCGCCAAGAUGGCAAAUAUUUGGAGGGGUGGAAGGUGGAUUUUGAUCCUUGUAUAUCUAGGUUCAGUACAAAAUCUCUGUAUUUAACUGCUUCUUAUGUGCAAAUAACAUAGGGAUGGCUUGCUGAGUGAGGAACGUGGCUGCAAGUGUAUGAAAGCUACUUGAAGUAUCUUCCCCUUUGCACUGCAAGGGAUUUUCCAAAAAGCAUUUGAUGAUGGGUGAACAUGAACCCCAUUGACAAACAUUCCCAAUGCUAGAGGUCUUGAGAACAACAAUCAACUUCAUCGCAGUCAGGCCCAGAUGAUUUAAAUUCCAUUGUCUUUUCCACUGCAUUAAUUGAAUUACUUUGCCGAUCAAUAGGGUUGGCUCUCAACGGAGGUACAUUCCUUGGCAUUUUUAUCUGUUUUAAUUACUCACUCGGGAACACAUUUUUCUGUUUGUUUUUUAAGUUUCUCACUUACAACAGGGGGACUUGCCUGGACCAUCUGCCUCUCUUCAUGCCCUCUACUCUUUGUUUGCUGACCCAAUCAUAGUAGCGCACAAGCAUUUUGGAGACCAGUCUUUGAGCUAAGUUCACGAUUGGAUACUGUGGGAGACAUGAUCAAUCGAAGCCAGAAAAAAAUAAUUUGAAGUUGUGCGUAUGUCACAAGAGGAUCAACUCUUUGGCUGUCUCUUUUGUCUAUUUCCUGAUUUUAAAAAGCAGGCUCAUGGGCUUAGCAACUGAAGCAAUUCCACUUUUAUGAUGACUCGUAAAAUCUUCAAAGAAAGUUGGUUUAUUAAGCAUCUCCUACUGCGUUAGUGGAUGCUGGUUUGCUUCAAUCUUAUGCUGAUAAGUCCAUUUUGCAUUUCAUGCAUUAGCUCAUCCUCUGUACUUAUCUUGGUUUAUGUUGAAUACACUUAUAUCUUAUGAUCAGUAACUGAUUUAACAUAGUUUCUAUUUGGCUGA
Molecule: long non-coding RNA, 1549 nt
Organism: Eucalyptus grandis
Lineage: Eukaryota; Viridiplantae; Streptophyta; Magnoliopsida; Myrtales; Myrtaceae
Exons: 2
Source: RefSeq, a predicted model, not a curated record